Molecule: ribosomal RNA, 520 nt
Filed under: uncultured Glomus
Lineage: Eukaryota; Fungi; Glomeromycota; Glomeromycetes; Glomerales; Glomeraceae
Description: SSU rRNA
Rfam family: Eukaryotic small subunit ribosomal RNA
Source: RNAcentral
AGCAGCCGCGGUAAUUCCAGCUCCAAUAGCGUAUAUUAAAGUUGUUGCAGUUAAAAAGCUCGUAGUUGAAUUUCGGGAUCAAUACGUCUGUCGUGCCUUCGGUACGUACGGGUGUAAUUGGUUUCUACCUUCUGAGGAUCCUUGAUGUCAUUAGUUUGGUGUCUUGGGGAAUCAGGACUGUUACCUUGAAAAAAUUAGAGUGUUUAAAGCAGGCAUACGCUUGAAUACAUUAGCAUGGAAUAAUGAAAUAGGACGUUCGAUUCUAUUUUGUUGGUUUCUAGGAUCGACGUAAUGAUUAAUAGGGAUAGUUGGGGGCAUUAGUAUUCAAUUGUCAGAGGUGAAAUUCUUGGAUUUAUUGAAGACUAACUACUGCGAAAGCAUUUGCCAAGGAUGUUUUCAUUAAUCAAGAACGAAAGUUAGGGGAUCGAAGACGAUCAGAUACCGUCGUAGUCUUAACCAUGAACUAUGCCGACUAGGGAUCGGAUGAUGUUAAUUUUUAAUGACUCAUUCGGCGCCUUAA